RNAcentral lists this ribosomal RNA (253 nucleotides) under uncultured bacterium. RNAcentral describes it as "partial 16S ribosomal RNA". It matches the Rfam family "Archaeal small subunit ribosomal RNA", at positions 474 to 727 of the family's 1478-position model. The record is from RNAcentral.
UACCAGCACCCCGAGUGGUCGGGACGAUUAUUGGGCCUAAAGCAUCCGUAGCCGGCCUUACAAGUCCUCCGUUAAAUCCAGCUGCUUAACAGAUGGGCUGCGGAGGAUACUAUAAGACUAGGAGGCGGGAGAGGCAAGCGGUACUCAGUGGGUAGGGGUAAAAUCCGUUGAUCCAUUGAAGACCACCAGUGGCGAAGGCGGCUUGCCAGAAUGCGCUCGACGGUGAGGGAUGAAAGCUGGGGGAGCAAACCGG